GGUAGCAUAAUCAGUAGCCUCUUAAUUGGAGGCUGGAAUGAAGGGUCGGACAAGGGGGAAGCUGUCUUUUUUACAGUUUUUGAAUUUUACUUUUAAGUGAAAAGGCUUAAAUAAUUUGGGGGGACGAUAAGACCCUAUAAAAUUUUACAAAAUCGGGGUUUUUUUCUGAAUUAAGGUGUAAAUUUUAUAAAUCCCUGUUUGUUGUGUUGGGGCGGCAAAGAUAAAAAUUAGUAACUGUCAUUUAAUUAGAAUAAUUAUAAUUAGUUUAAUUGAUCCUUUAUUAGAGAUUAAAAGAUUAAGUUACUUUAGGGAUAACAGCGUAAUUUUCCCUGAGAGUUCUUAUCGACGGGAGUAGUUGCGACCUCGAUGUUGAAUUAAGGUUUCUUUUAAGUGUAGCAGCUUAAUGAGUAGGUCUGUUCGACC
RNAcentral lists this ribosomal RNA (423 nucleotides) under Pandalus montagui. RNAcentral describes it as "partial 16S ribosomal RNA". It matches the Rfam family "Bacterial large subunit ribosomal RNA", at positions 1955 to 2586 of the family's 2925-position model. The record is from RNAcentral. Lineage: Eukaryota; Metazoa; Arthropoda; Malacostraca; Decapoda; Pandalidae.